CCUACGGGGGGCAGCAGUGAGGAAUAUUGGUCAAUGGCCGUAAGGCUGAACCAGCUAAGUCGCGUGAAGGAAGAAGGACCUAUUGUUUGUAAACUUCUUUUAUAGGGGAAUAAAGGUAUCCACGUGUGGAUAUUUGCAUGUACCCUAUGAAUAAGCUUCGGCGAACUCAGCGCCAGCAGCCGCGGUAAUACGGAGGAUGCGAGCGUUAUUCGGAUUGAUUGGGUUUAAAGGGUGCGUAGGUUGUUUUUUAAGUCAGCGGUGAAAGUUUGUGGCUCAACCAUGAAAUUGCCGUUGAAACUGGAUGACUUGAGUGUGUUUGAGGUAGGCGGAAUGCGUGGUGUAGCAGUGAAAUGCAUAGAUAUCACGAAGAACUCCGAUUGCGAAGGCAGCUUACUAAGCCAUAACUGACACUGAAGCACGAAAGCGUGGGGAUCAAACAGGAUUAGAUACCCCUGUAGUC
Molecule: ribosomal RNA, 460 nt
Filed under: uncultured bacterium
Lineage: Bacteria
Description: partial 16S ribosomal RNA
Rfam family: Bacterial small subunit ribosomal RNA
Source: RNAcentral